This 359-nucleotide ribosomal RNA is filed under the name uncultured bacterium. Its description in RNAcentral is "bacterial SSU rRNA". It matches the Rfam family "Bacterial small subunit ribosomal RNA", at positions 796 to 1156 of the family's 1533-position model. The record is from RNAcentral.
CACGCCCUAAACUAUGUCAACUGGUUGUCGGGGAAGCAAUUCCUUGGUAACGAAGCUAACGCGUGAAGUUGACCGCCUGGGGAGUACGGCCGCAAGGUUAAAACUCAAAGGAAUUGACGGGGACCCGCACAAGCGGUGGAUUAUGUGGAUUAAUUCGAUGCAACGCGAAAAACCUUACCUACCCUUGACAUGUACGGAAUCCUCCAGAGAUGGAGGAGUGCCCGAAAGGGAGCCGUAACACAGGUGCUGCAUGGCUGUCGUCAGCUCGUGUCGUGAGAUGUUGGGUUAAGUCCCGCAACGAGCGCAACCCUUGCCAUUAGUUGCUACAUUAAGUUGGACACUCUAAUGGGACUGACGGU